GACUUCCUACCCACAGUGAGCUAAAAGGACGCUUUUGUCAGAGUGGGGAAAUAAAAGGGCUUUAUGGGAAGGAAGAUAAGAACAGAUGAGUCAGAGGUUUCUGCUUAAUGGUGGUACAGCCAAGCAGACAGGCAAGUGGCCAUACUGCUGCUGCCUCAUGUGGGAUUCGGCAGGCUGGUGGGUUAUCAGUCCUCACGUGGGACCCUCCCACCAUGGCAGCUGAGCGCAUCCAAGCUGGGGGAUCCUGAAGAGACCUUCACCUGGGUGCCAUGUGGAAGAUUGGUCAGCACCAUUUUGACUCCUGUGGAUGGGUGAGUGUUUUGCCCGCCCCCACCCAAUAACAUCAGCACCCAAACUGCACCUGGUCACCUGUCUACAUUCAGAUUUGGAUGAAACCCACACCAUGGAGGCAGCCAGAAGCCCAUGGGAGAUGUCUGGAUGCACAGAGGAAUAGCUCCAUGUGAUGCAAACCUUGACUAAUGGGAACAGGAAAAGGGAGGAAACCAGGAAGAUAAAUUUGCCUCCCUUCUCAUUGCCCCUUGCAACUCUUCCCACUUGAAGCAUGACCACAUUUAAUGAACAACCUGCUGUGUCUCUUGGAAGCUUGCUGCAAAGCAGCAAUCAGCACAAUAACAUUGUAUUGUAUCUUCCUCUGCUUCACUUCUCUUC
RNAcentral lists this long non-coding RNA (669 nucleotides) under Pongo abelii (Sumatran orangutan). Its description in RNAcentral is "lincRNA". Lineage: Eukaryota; Metazoa; Chordata; Mammalia; Primates; Hominidae. The record is from RNAcentral.